CGUGUAGGCUGACCGGAAAGUCGGGCGUGAAAUCCCUGAGCUCAACUCAGGAACUGCACUCGAAACUCCCGGUCUAGAGUGGUGGAGAGGGAAGUGGAAUUCCUGGUGUAGAGGUGAAAUUCGUAGAUAUCAGGAGGAACACCAGUGGCGAAGGCGGCUUCCUGGACACCAACUGACGCUGAGACGCGAAAGCGUGGGGAGCAAACAGGAUUAGAUACCCUGGUAGUCCACGCUGUAAACGAUGGGCACUAGGUGUCGCGGGUUUUGACCCCCGCGGUGCCGUAGCAAACGCGUUAAGUGCCCCGCCUGGGGAGUACGGCCGCAAGGCUAAA
RNAcentral lists this ribosomal RNA (332 nucleotides) under uncultured Polyangium sp. RNAcentral's name for it is "bacterial SSU rRNA". It matches the Rfam family "Bacterial small subunit ribosomal RNA", at positions 568 to 898 of the family's 1533-position model. The record is from RNAcentral. Lineage: Bacteria; Pseudomonadati; Myxococcota; Polyangiales; Polyangiaceae.